CAGGGCGGUCAUUGCAAUUGAUUGAUCCAAAUUCCGAACCUCCAAUGCGGCGGCGUUAAAACGGUUGAUGUAAGUUCGGAUGGAUUCUCCCUCUUUUUGCUUGAUGUUGAUGAGGGACUCCAAACCUCUCCGGGGACGCCGGCUGCUGACGAAAUGAGCAACAAACUGAUGGUUCAUCUGAUCAAAAGAGAAGAUAGUAUCCGGCUUCAAUGCCCAGUACCAAUUUCUUGCUGC
This 234-nucleotide long non-coding RNA is filed under the name Elaeis guineensis (African oil palm). RNAcentral describes it as "long non-coding RNA (EGUI_LNC050633)". The record is from RNAcentral. Lineage: Eukaryota; Viridiplantae; Streptophyta; Magnoliopsida; Arecales; Arecaceae.